AAGACUAUACUUUCAGGGAUCAUUUCCACAGUUUGUUACUAGAGAAGUUUCUCUGAAUAUGCAGAGUUUAAAAAAAAAAAAAU
Molecule: small nucleolar RNA, 83 nt
Organism: Macaca fascicularis (crab-eating macaque)
Lineage: Eukaryota; Metazoa; Chordata; Mammalia; Primates; Cercopithecidae
Gene: U3
Rfam family: Small nucleolar RNA U3
About the family: Small nucleolar RNAs (snoRNAs) are involved in the processing and modification of rRNA in the nucleolus. There are two main classes of snoRNAs: the box C/D class, and the box H/ACA class. U3 snoRNA is a member of the box C/D class.
Source: Ensembl